UUGGGAAUCUUGCACAAUGGGGGAAACCCUGAUGCAGCGACGCCGCGUGGAGGACGAAGGGUCUAGGCCUGUAAACUCCUUUUACCAGGAAAGACUUAGGACGGUACCUGGUGAAUAAGCCCCGGCUAACUACGUGCCAGCAGCCGCGGUAAGACGUAGGGGGCAAGCGUUGUCCGGAUUUACUGGGCGUAAAGGGCGCGUAGGCGGCCUGUUAAGUGUGAAGUGAAAUCUCCAGAGCUCAACUCGGAAACUGCUUUACAUACUGGCAGGCUUGAGGAAUGCAGAGGUGAAUAGAAUUCCUGGUGUAGCGGUGAAAUGCGUAGAUAUCAGGAGGAAUACCCAUGGCGAAGGCAGUUCACUGGGCAUUAUCUGACGCUGAGGCGCGAAAGCGUGGGGAGCA
This 400-nucleotide ribosomal RNA is filed under the name uncultured bacterium. Its description in RNAcentral is "bacterial SSU rRNA". It matches the Rfam family "Bacterial small subunit ribosomal RNA", at positions 355 to 770 of the family's 1533-position model. The record is from RNAcentral.